UACGUAGGGGGCAAGCGUUGUCCGGAUUUAUUGGGCGUAAAGAGCGUGUAGGCGGCCACACAGGUCAGCUGUGAAAACUCGAGGCUCAACCUCGAGACGUCGGUUGAAACCGUAUGGCUAGAGUCCGGAAGAGGAGAGUGGAAUUCCCGGUGUAGCGGUGAAAUGCGCAGAUAUCGGGAAGAACACCCGUGGCGAAGGCGGCUCUCUGGGACGGUACUGACGCUGAGACGCGAAAGCGUGGGGAGCGAACGGG
RNAcentral lists this ribosomal RNA (253 nucleotides) under uncultured bacterium. Its description in RNAcentral is "partial 16S ribosomal RNA". It matches the Rfam family "Bacterial small subunit ribosomal RNA", at positions 524 to 776 of the family's 1533-position model. The record is from RNAcentral.